This 493-nucleotide ribosomal RNA is filed under the name uncultured Alphaproteobacteria bacterium. Its description in RNAcentral is "bacterial SSU rRNA". It matches the Rfam family "Bacterial small subunit ribosomal RNA", at positions 9 to 524 of the family's 1533-position model. Lineage: Bacteria; Pseudomonadati; Pseudomonadota; Alphaproteobacteria. The record is from RNAcentral.
GAGUUUGAUCCUGGCUCAGAACGAACGCUGGCGGCAGGCUUAACACAUGCAAGUCGAACGCCCGUCUUCGGACGGGAGUGGCAGACGGGUGAGUAACGCGUGGGAACGUACCCUUCGGUUCGGGAUAACCCGGGGAAACUCGGGCUAAUACCGGAUACGCCCGCUUCUGGAGACAGGGGCGGGGAAAGGUUUACUGCCGAAGGAUCGGCCCGCGUCGGAUUAGGCUGGGUUGGUGGGGUAACGGCCUACCAAGGCGACGAUCCGUAGCUGGUCUGAGAGGAUGAUCAGCCACACUGGGACUGAGACACGGCCCAGACUCCUACGGGAGGCAGCAGUGGGGAAUAUUGGACAAAUGGGCGCAAGCCUGAUCCAGCCAAUGCCGCGUGAGUGAAGAAGGCCUUAAGGGUUGUAAAAGCUCUUUCAGCGGGGACGAUAAUGACGGUACCCGGCAGAAGAAGCCCCGGCUAAACUUCGUGCCAGCAGCCGCGGUAAU